UUGCUCCAUGAAUUCCCAUGAUGCCGAGUGUGGUGUUACCUGGACUGAAGGUCUGGAUGUGAUGACAGAUCCGUUCUUGCUGUAGGUGAAGACGGUGAAGUCUGCAGGCAUCAGCAGGCUGGAAACAAGAAGCAUGGCCCGGACAGGAAAAGAUGUGGAGAAGAAGGGACAGAAGAGCCUGACUGAGCUCAAGAGUUUGAUGGAGAAUCCAAACCUUCAGCUCGAUACCACUCUGUCUUUUCGGAUGUUUCUUUGGGAAUGCAGCGAAAACGUUCUCCCAUACAGGAUCCUGUGUGUGACAACAGAAAUGAUCCGUUGAGUGCUUGCAUGUCUGUGACUGAGGACCAGCUCCUCCAAUCAUCUGAUCCUCAACUCCAAAACCCCAUAAUCCCGAGCGACAGCUGGAACUGACCAGCAUUUGGACAGGAGCUGUGACAGAGGCCUCCUUGACAAAUCCUCCCUCCAUCCACUGUGGCGAUGCUCACCUGUGAGGAUGAAGCUCCACGCUGACCAUCUACGUUGCUCUGAUUUAUUUAUUUGAUUCUUCUAAAAAAAAUAUGAAAAACUGAGCAGGAAGAAAAACAGCUAUCUGAUUUAUUUGUUACUA
Molecule: long non-coding RNA, 607 nt
Organism: Oryzias melastigma (Indian medaka)
Lineage: Eukaryota; Metazoa; Chordata; Actinopteri; Beloniformes; Adrianichthyidae
Exons: 3
Source: RefSeq, a predicted model, not a curated record